RNAcentral lists this ribosomal RNA (700 nucleotides) under Microbacterium shaanxiense. RNAcentral describes it as "bacterial SSU rRNA". It matches the Rfam family "Bacterial small subunit ribosomal RNA", at positions 115 to 829 of the family's 1533-position model. The record is from RNAcentral. Lineage: Bacteria; Bacillati; Actinomycetota; Actinomycetes; Micrococcales; Microbacteriaceae.
ACGUGAGCAACCUGCCCCUGACUCUGGGAUAAGCGCUGGAAACGGCGUCUAAUACUGGAUACGAACCGGAAUCGCAUGGUUACUGGUUGGAAAGAAUUUCGGUUGGGGAUGGGCUCGCGGCCUAUCAGCUUGUUGGUGAGGUAAUGGCUCACCAAGGCGUCGACGGGUAGCCGGCCUGAGAGGGUGACCGGCCACACUGGGACUGAGACACGGCCCAGACUCCUACGGGAGGCAGCAGUGGGGAAUAUUGCACAAUGGGCGGAAGCCUGAUGCAGCAACGCCGCGUGAGGGAUGACGGCCUUCGGGUUGUAAACCUCUUUUAGCAGGGAAGAAGCGAAAGUGACGGUACCUGCAGAAAAAGCACCGGCUAACUACGUGCCAGCAGCCGCGGUAAUACGUAGGGUGCAAGCGUUAUCCGGAAUUAUUGGGCGUAAAGAGCUCGUAGGCGGUUUGUCGCGUCUGCUGUGAAAUCUGGGGGCUCAACCCCCAGCCUGCAGUGGGUACGGGCAGACUAGAGUGCGGUAGGGGAGAUUGGAAUUCCUGGUGUAGCGGUGGAAUGCGCAGAUAUCAGGAGGAACACCGAUGGCGAAGGCAGAUCUCUGGGCCGUAACUGACGCUGAGGAGCGAAAGGGUGGGGAGCAAACAGGCUUAGAUACCCUGGUAGUCCACCCCGUAAACGUUGGGAACUAGUUGUGGGGUC